CAGAACCAAGAGAUCCGUUGUUAAAAGUUUUAAUUUAUUAAUUAAGUUUACUCAGACUGCAAAGUUACGCAAGAGUUUGAAGUGUCCACCCGGAGCCCCCGCCCGAAGGCAGGGUCGCCCCGGAGGCAACAGAGUCGGACAACAAAGGGUUAUGAACAUCCCGGCCGUAGCCGGGGUCACUUGUAAUGAUCCCU
Molecule: unclassified non-coding RNA, 194 nt
Filed under: uncultured Cladosporium
Lineage: Eukaryota; Fungi; Ascomycota; Dothideomycetes; Cladosporiales; Cladosporiaceae
Description: sequence contains ITS1
Source: RNAcentral